UGGUCCAUGUAGAAGAGAUUUUAAAAAUUGAAAAUGACAUGAAAAUGGAAGUAAGUGAUUUUGAUUGCACGGGUUUCAAUUUGCGAUUUCAAUAAUUAGAAAUAUCAUUCUCGCUAGAGAACCCUAGAGAGAGCAUAUUCCUAGCCACAAGUGUCGUUUGAGGAGAAUCGGCCAUUGGCCAACUUUUCACCGUUCAUUGGAUUCUUGCGGUUAACCGGAGCCUUAUCCGUCGCCGUCUGCCGUUCUGAAGCACCAACAAAGGGCGAAACCACCAUUGGAUGUGGUUUUUAAAGCUUCUCGUUGUUUCUUUCGGUUUUUCUUUGGUACUGUUUCUGAUUAUCAAGAAACUCCAAAUUGGAAGAUUGAAUUUCUGGGCUGAUAUUUUGUUGAGCAAAGUUUGUUGGAUGAUGAUUGUAUAAGAUUCUUACUCUCUGUUGUAGCAGCUUCUGCUUUAUUUCUAGCUAGAUUUUUUAUUGAUCCUAAAGUGCAUCCUUGGGUAAGUAUAUGUAAUGGAUGGUGAAAGAAUUUUAAUUUAAAAAGAAUAAU
Vigna radiata var. radiata (mung bean) is the source of this 546-nucleotide long non-coding RNA. RefSeq lists it as uncharacterized. The transcript is spliced from 3 exons. The record is from RefSeq and is a predicted model, not a curated record. Lineage: Eukaryota; Viridiplantae; Streptophyta; Magnoliopsida; Fabales; Fabaceae.